This 253-nucleotide ribosomal RNA is filed under the name uncultured bacterium. RNAcentral describes it as "partial 16S ribosomal RNA". It matches the Rfam family "Bacterial small subunit ribosomal RNA", at positions 524 to 776 of the family's 1533-position model. The record is from RNAcentral.
UACGAAGGGGGCUAGCGUUGUUCGGAAUUACUGGGCGUAAAGCGCACGUAGGCGGACAUUUAAGUCAGGGGUGAAAUCCCAGAGCUCAACUCUGGAACUGCCUUUGAUACUGGGUGUCUUGAGUAUGGAAGAGGUGAGUGGAAUUCCGAGUGUAGAGGUGAAAUUCGUAGAUAUUCGGAGGAACACCAGUGGCGAAGGCGGCUCACUGGUCCAUUACUGACGCUGAGGUGCGAAAGCGUGGGGAGCGAACCGG